RNAcentral lists this ribosomal RNA (261 nucleotides) under uncultured bacterium. Its description in RNAcentral is "partial 16S ribosomal RNA". It matches the Rfam family "Bacterial small subunit ribosomal RNA", at positions 57 to 305 of the family's 1533-position model. The record is from RNAcentral.
GCAAGUCGAACGCGAACAGUCUUCGGACUAAGUAGAGUGGCGCACGGGUGAGUAACACGUGGAUAACAUGCCCUCGGGUUUGGGAUAACCUUCCGAAAGGAAAGCUAAUACCGAAUAAGACCACAGCCUUAAUUGGGCAGUGAGAAAAGAUGGGGACCGGAAACGGCCUGUCACCUGAGGAUUGGUCCGCGUUCUAUCAGCUUGUUGGUGAGGUAAAAGCUCACCAAGGCUAGGACGGAUAGCUGGUCUGAGAGGAUGAUC